RNAcentral lists this ribosomal RNA (253 nucleotides) under uncultured bacterium. RNAcentral's name for it is "partial 16S ribosomal RNA". It matches the Rfam family "Bacterial small subunit ribosomal RNA", at positions 524 to 776 of the family's 1533-position model. The record is from RNAcentral.
UACGGAGGGUGCAAGCGUUAUCCGGAUUCACUGGGUUUAAAGGGUGCGUAGGUGGGCAGGUAAGUCAGUGGUGAAAUCUCCGGGCUUAACCCGGAAACUGCCAUUGAUACUAUCUGUCUUGAAUACCGUGGAGGUGAGCGGAAUAUGUCAUGUAGCGGUGAAAUGCUUAGAUAUGACAUAGAACACCAAUUGCGAAGGCAGCUCACUAGACGAAUAUUGACACUGAGGCACGAAAGCGUGGGGAUCAAACAGG